Molecule: long non-coding RNA, 1563 nt
Organism: Salvia miltiorrhiza (redroot sage)
Lineage: Eukaryota; Viridiplantae; Streptophyta; Magnoliopsida; Lamiales; Lamiaceae
Exons: 2
Source: RefSeq, a predicted model, not a curated record
CUGCUGUCGAGAGAAAGCAGAGGCCGGAGCUUGUUUUGUUACGGUGUUUGGUGGUGAAACAAACGUGAGUUUCGGGACGGCGAAGGAGCCAUAUCGGCAACGACGAGGCUGUGCUCCUUCGAGGUAUACUUCUCUGCAGUCUCGCCUUCAGUUUUGCACAGUCGUUGGCUUCUUUUAGCGGGCGCGGCCGCUACUGGAACGGGCUUGAAGCGCGGUGGCGGUAUUUGGCUUCGGCUUUGCAGCAGUGGCGGCGGAGUUGCAGGCGUUGGUUUGGACAGCGAUUUCUUCAUCUUCUUGGCCUUGAGGUCGGCGCCGUGGGGGCUCUUGGCGGCGUCGUGGUGGCUCUUUCGUCGUUCUGAAUCGGAACAAGAGAGAUUGGGGGACGAAGACACGGCUAGUAGCUGCGUCUUCGUCGGAGCUCAGGAGAGGGAUUUUUGAGGAGUGAGAGAGAUUUGGGCCCUUUCUUUGGGCUCUUCUUUUUUACUCAACCAAUUAUUCAAACAGGCCCAAGAGAAUUUGGAGAGAAGGAAAAAAUGUUGGUGGCCGCAAGAACUUAAUGAUGGUGAUCUUCAAAAGACUGAUGCUUUAUUCCAUCGCUGUAUUCAAGAUGGGCGUGGUCUCAUUAACCAACUUCAUGGCAGAUUUUGCCCCAAACGAAAUGCUUUGAGUAUUUGCAAAGUUCGAAAUCUAUUGUCUUCUUUCUUUCAGUUUUGACAUCUCCAUCAGCCCGACUAAAGACCAUCCUCAGAGAGUUCAUCCAAAAAUCUGACAGCAGCCUAUCUAAGACUUUAUUUGAGUGAUGUUUACUUUGCACUUCAGGUGGCUCAAUUGGCUUUUAAUCAGAUUUCGGGUGCGCUCGGAUCUGGGCCAUUGUGAGUCCAACCUUUGAAGAUUGCUGGUUACAUUUUCUCUUUGCGCGCAUUCGAGCAGGCUAGAUGACUCAAUGGUGUUCUAUUAUGUUUGGCGAACAUGUGUUUCAACUCCACGAGCGAAUUCAACUUUAGCUUGGAGAGAAGUGAAGUUGUCGAUGCAUAGCCGACCUCAAUGCCACAUGACUCAAUUCUUUGACAGGUCUUGGGUGCGCUCAGGCCUGGGAUUGUUUGAAUCUGGUUUGAGUGAGGUUGUUGUUAUGUUUGGCAUCUCACGAAGUUGGGAGAAUUCUGCACAACGGCUCGAGAAGAUUGAGUAUUUUCUUCUUGAUGCUUAAGCCAAGGAGAAUGAAGCCAUCGUCCGAAUUGCUUUGAUCAAGGAAGAGCUUGCUAUGAUAGAGAGGUGGAAGACAGAGAUGACGUUGUCCUUCAAGCAAGAUAGUGCCUCCUUUCAUAUUGUCCGAGGUGCAAUCCCAGAAUUCAAAAGAGAGUUUGACAAACAUAAAGUUGCACAUGUUGAUGAGGAAAUGCUGCGGAAUUUUGAAGACUUCAGAGUCACUUUUGAUCUCUGCUCAGAGAACUUUGGAGGAUCAAAACCCAUUUACUUAGUAUUGGUGCAAACCGCAGUUUCUAUCAUUUCUCUCUUGAUGAUUCUUAUUUGGUUUGUGAUGGAUAUUUUGACAUCUUCUCCAAA